UACGGAGGGUGCAAGCGUUAUCCGGAUUCACUGGGUUUAAAGGGUGCGUAGGCGGGCAGGUAAGUCCGUGGUGAAAUCUCUGAGCUUAACUCAGAAACUGCCAUGGAUACUAUUUGUCUUGAAUAUUGUGGAGGUAAGCGGAAUAUGUCAUGUAGCGGUGAAAUGCUUAGAUAUGACAUAGAACACCCAUUGCGAAGGCAGCUUACUACACGAUCAUUGACGCUGAGGCACGAAAGCGUGGGGAGCAAACAGG
Molecule: ribosomal RNA, 253 nt
Filed under: uncultured bacterium
Lineage: Bacteria
Description: partial 16S ribosomal RNA
Rfam family: Bacterial small subunit ribosomal RNA
Source: RNAcentral